RNAcentral lists this transfer RNA (28 nucleotides) under Pseudosalacia streyi. RNAcentral describes it as "partial tRNA-Leu". The record is from RNAcentral. Lineage: Eukaryota; Viridiplantae; Streptophyta; Magnoliopsida; Celastrales; Celastraceae.
AAAUCCGUCGACUUUANAAAUCGUGAGG